AAGCUAUGCUUGGGCUGUGGUAUCUCGUCCUGUACCGUCUGGUACAGGAAAAGAGAAGGGGAACCAGGUGCGAAUCCUGGGCUGUGCCGCAACGGUAAUUGGUUAGGGUAAAGGGCGAAGCGUUAAGGGUAAAGAAAAUAAAACUUACCCCUUUCCGCUUUACGCUUACCCCUGUCAUAAGUCCGGAGACCGACCACGCUUAGUGGCUAGUC
This is a non-coding RNA of Candidatus Daviesbacteria bacterium, 212 nucleotides long. The record is from Rfam. NCBI's taxonomy places the organism in Bacteria, Candidatus Daviesiibacteriota.